UGGGGAUUAGUGGCGAACGGGUGAGUAACACGUGGGCAAUCUGCCCUUCACUCUGGGACAAGCCCUGGAAACGGGGUCUAAUACCGGAUAACACUCCCACGGGCAUCUGUGGGGGUUAAAAGCUCCGGCGGUGAAGGAUGAGCCCGCGGCCUAUCAGCUUGUUGGUGAGGUAACGGCUCACCAAGGCGACGACGGGUAGCCGGCCUGAGAGGGCGACCGGCCACACUGGGACUGAGACACGGCCCAGACUCCUACGGGAGGCAGCAGUGGGGAAUAUUGCACAAUGGGCGAAAGCCUGAUGCAGCGACGCCGCGUGAGGGAUGACGGCCUUCGGGUUGUAAACCUCUUUCAGCAGGGAAGAAGCGAAAGUGACGGUACCUGCAGAAGAAGCGCCGGCUAACUACGUGCCAGCAGCCGCGGUAAUACGUAGGGCGCGAGCGUUGUCCGGAAUUAUUGGGCGUAAAGAGCUCGUAGGCGGCUUGUCACGUCGGGUGUGAAAGACCGGGGCUUAACCCCGGUUCUGCAUUCGAUACGGGCUAGCUAGAGUGUGGUAGGGGAGAUCG
RNAcentral lists this ribosomal RNA (563 nucleotides) under Streptomyces sp. PC5073. RNAcentral's name for it is "bacterial SSU rRNA". It matches the Rfam family "Bacterial small subunit ribosomal RNA", at positions 86 to 663 of the family's 1533-position model. Lineage: Bacteria; Bacillati; Actinomycetota; Actinomycetes; Kitasatosporales; Streptomycetaceae. The record is from RNAcentral.